This 71-nucleotide transfer RNA is filed under the name Hemibarbus labeo (barbel steed). RNAcentral's name for it is "tRNA-Trp". It matches the Rfam family "tRNA". From Rfam's summary of the family: Transfer RNA (tRNA) molecules are approximately 80 nucleotides in length. Their secondary structure includes four short double-helical elements and three loops (D, anti-codon, and T loops). Further hydrogen bonds mediate the characteristic L-shaped molecular structure. tRNAs have two regions of fundamental functional importance: the anti-codon, which is responsible for specific mRNA codon recognition, and the 3' end, to which the tRNAs corresponding amino acid is attached (by aminoacyl-tRNA synthetases). tRNAs cope with the degeneracy of the genetic code in two manners: having more than one tRNA (with a specific anti-codon) for a particular amino acid; and 'wobble' base-pairing, i.e. permitting non-standard base-pairing at the 3rd anti-codon position. Lineage: Eukaryota; Metazoa; Chordata; Actinopteri; Cypriniformes; Gobionidae. The record is from RNAcentral.
AGGGGCUUAGGAUAGCAUAAGACCAAGACCCUUCAAAGCUCUAAGCAGAAGUGAAAAUCUUCUAGCCCCUG